Non-coding RNA from Phascolarctos cinereus (koala), 1568 nucleotides. Lineage: Eukaryota; Metazoa; Chordata; Mammalia; Diprotodontia; Phascolarctidae. The record is from RefSeq and is a predicted model, not a curated record.
AUUCUAAGGUCCCUCACAGCUCAAUCAUUCUAUGUUUUUGAUCUGAAAUUUUAUAUUUUAUGUCUCUUCUGUAUUUAACAUUCUGUUGUUUCAAUACUUUAUUGUCCUAAGUCCUUUCACAUUCUCCAGCUCUUACAUUCUAUAGUCUGUGUUCUAAGGUCCCUUUCAGUUGUAACAUUCUGUGUUCUAUGUCAUGAAGUCCCUUCCAGCUUUCACAUUCUGUUCUUUUGUGACAUAGCACAGAUUGGGAUGAUUUAUUUUUUCUUGUAGCUGGAAAGGGCUGGGAAUCCUAAAAUGCAUUGGCCAUAAUUAUACAUUGGAGACCAAAGGUCAGGAGCUUUGCAUAUACAAAUAUGUACACUGUCAAGCAAUAAGCGGGAACAGAGGAUGAACUUUCACCAUGGAUUAAAUGCUAAAACUUUUCUUUUCAAAAUAUGGUAGUAAAUGAUGAAAACGUGCAUGCACAGCAGACUUCUGGAGGCAAAAUGUCAUCGGAGGCAUCUGUGGCUCCAGGAAAGAGACCCAGUCUGACAGAUCCACCUUUUACCAAGGGACAGCACUGAAAUCACCCAGUCCCGGCAAUGAAAACAGCAAGCAACUAUGGAAUGGAGAGAGGCUCAGGAGUAAAAAGCUGGUUAGAGGAGAAGGAACUUCUCUACUGAUGGAAAGUUCCCUGGGGAUGGAGGAGAGAAAUUAACCCAAUCUGGCUACUUCCCCUUAGCGAGUCAACAUAGCAGAGAUCCAGCCUCACAUCCCUAGUGCUCCAACGGAACACUGUCAUUGAAACCACUCACCCCUCCAAAAAAAAAGUCUAAAUAAGAGAAAACAUGCAGUUAUAGAUGAGAGAAUAAGCAAAUAGGGAGGGGAGGGCUGAUACAAGACUUUUUGUGUCAGGAUAGAAAGACAAAUAGCAAAAAGAACAAGAGAGAACGCCUCGAUGAAAUCUCAGACAUAAGCAGAUAAACUGACAGGGACACUUAAAGAAAGAAAGGAAUAUGAACAAAGAAUCUAGAAAAGGGAUACAGCACAAUAAAUCAGUACUACAUAAUAAGGAAACCCCCAAUAAAUAGAAAACAAUGAAAUAAAUUCUAUUGGGUCCCCUCAAAUCAUGGAAUAACAGUAAGAAACUAUGGACUUACACAUCAGAAAAAUAAAUAAUUAAAAUAAGGAUGUCACAUAAGAAAGAGGGUGGAAAUCUGAGUUCUCAAAGAAUAAAUAAAAAAGACAAGAGAACAAACACUUAGGACAUAGGGCAGAGAAUCUGCACAAAACAGCAGAUUCUCUGAGAAAGAUAAUUUCAUAUUUGAAACUUGAAAGUACAGAAAUGAAAGGAAAUUUAACAGAAACAAACUUUUUUUUAAAAUUGGAAAAAGAUGAAUUUGAUAAAAUGUAGAGUGACUGAUGCUGAAGAUAUGAUGGACAGAUAAUUUCAGAAUCAUAGGUGUUCCAGGAAAAAUUAUGAAUUUAAAAUAUGCAUACCAUAUACAAAGAAAUAGUAUAAGAAAAUCACCCAAUGUACUAAAACAGAGGGUAAAAUACUGUUUAAUAGGGUAGCCAGGAGGCACAGU